Nematostella vectensis (starlet sea anemone) is the source of this 409-nucleotide long non-coding RNA. RefSeq lists it as uncharacterized. NCBI's taxonomy places the organism in Eukaryota, Metazoa, Cnidaria, Anthozoa, Actiniaria, Edwardsiidae. The record is from RefSeq and is a predicted model, not a curated record. The transcript is spliced from 2 exons.
UUCAGCCUAUAAGAAAGAAAUUAAUUGGACCAUCGUUGGCAUAAUUCUGUCUCAGGAGAUGAUGUAUAGUUCCCUGAUCUACACUAACUUGAUAAAUGAUUGGCAGUUUUCGCCACAUGUGGGGAGAGAAUAGGAGAGAAUAAGAUCAAGCUUGUAUUUAGCCAGCUCUGUCUGCUUGCGACACACCUCGACUUCACCGCGGAGAAUCUCCAGGCACUGUUCCAGACUUCGGAUGGCUGUAUUACACUGCUUGAUGGCAAAAUCUGAUUGUUUCUAGAAGUACACAGUGAUACACAUAUCACAUAAGUGAUAAAACUUUCACAAACUUUCAUUAAGGUUCAAAUUAUAGGUUAUAUCAUAUAUAAUCAAUAUAAACAAAAUAAAGGAGUCCAGAGUCAAGGUCACAAAA